CAAAUCAUCAGAUUCUGUUUUUAUAUACAUUUUACCAAACGUCACAACUUCUUUGAAUCUGGGGUUGUAUAAUGCUGCCGAUUAAAAUGGUCUGAUUUGUUUCCCAUGGUGAGAACAUGAUGAGUGACUCUGUUGUCCAGCACCCAGAGUCUCUGUCAGCCCAGCCUGGAGACUCUGUGACUCUCAGCUGUUCUGUUCACACCACCCACUGUGCAGCAGAAUACACUGGUGUCAUGUGGCUGAGAAACGCUCCUCAUUCUGCUCCACAAACGGUUCACCCAUCCGGACAAAAGAACCAGAUCUGCAGGAGGACUGAGAGUAGAAACGUUACCUGUGUGUACAACCUCGUCAUGAGGAACCUCAGCUACGCGGAUGAUGGGACAUACUUCUGUGUUGCGACUGCAUGUGAACAAACAUUGUUUGGCAAUGGAACCAAACUGAAUUUGUGGGUGGCCUUCUUCGUGUGUGUGAUCGUCAAGAAAAUCUGCAACCAAUGCAGAGAACUUUUCAAUCCAAACAACACGAGCGCUGAGAGUCUCAGAGAUGAAGACUUUGUCCAACGUGGAGCGGCAAGAGAGAGCCAAAUCAUCAGAUCAAAAGGAAGAAGAGACGACACCUGGAGUGAAUGUGUGUACUUUGGUGUAACGCAGUAAAGCUGGGCAUGUUUUCAUUUCAAUUCCUGAAAUACAAUGACAAUGACAUGGUGACAAAGUGUCAGUGUAAAUACUUUCCCUGCAAUAAAGCCACUGAACAAGCUUCUC
Labrus mixtus (cuckoo wrasse) is the source of this 761-nucleotide non-coding RNA. The record is from the annotation of a RefSeq genome assembly. NCBI's taxonomy places the organism in Eukaryota, Metazoa, Chordata, Actinopteri, Labriformes, Labridae.